Molecule: ribosomal RNA, 492 nt
Filed under: uncultured bacterium
Lineage: Bacteria
Description: partial 16S ribosomal RNA
Rfam family: Bacterial small subunit ribosomal RNA
Source: RNAcentral
AGUGAACGCUGGCGGUAGGCCUAACACAUGCAAGUCGAACGGCAGCACAGUAAGAGCUUGCUCUUACGGGUGGCGAGUGACGGACGGGUGAGGAAUACAUCGGAAUCUACUUUUUCGUGGGGGAUAACGUAGGGAAACUUACGCUAAUACCGCAUACGACCUACGGGUGAAAGCAGGGGAUCUUCGGACCUUGCGCGAUUGAAUGAGCCGAUGUCGGAUUAGCUAGUUGGCGGGGUAAAGGCCCACCAAGGCGACGAUGCGUAGCUGGUCUGAGAGGAUGAUCAGCCACACUGGAACUGAGACACGGUCCAGACUCCUACGGGAGGCAGCAGUGGGGAAUAUUGGACAAUGGGCGCAAGCCUGAUCCAGCCAUACCGCGUGGGUGAAGAAGGCCUUCGGGUUGUAAAGCCCUUUUGUUGGGAAAGAAAAGCAGCAGGUUAAUACCCCGCUGUUCUGACGGUACCCAAAGAAUAAGCACCGGCUAACUUCGUG